RNAcentral lists this unclassified non-coding RNA (240 nucleotides) under soil metagenome. RNAcentral's name for it is "partial contains 5.8S ribosomal RNA, internal transcribed spacer 2, and large subunit ribosomal RNA". The record is from RNAcentral.
AACAUCGCGCACCUGCGGGAACCUGCGGAAGGAUCAUUACAGAGUUGCAAAACUCCCUAAACCAUUGUGAACGUUACCUAAACCGUUGCUUCGGCGGGCGGCGCGCCCUCGCGCGCGCCCCUGGGCCCCACCGCGGGCGCCCGCCGGAGGUCACCAAACUCUUGAUAUUAAUUGGCCUCUCUGAGUCUUCUGUACUGAAUAAGUCAAAACUUUCAACAAUGGAUCUCAGAUCGGAAGAGC